RNAcentral lists this ribosomal RNA (390 nucleotides) under uncultured bacterium. RNAcentral's name for it is "bacterial SSU rRNA". It matches the Rfam family "Bacterial small subunit ribosomal RNA", at positions 29 to 424 of the family's 1533-position model. The record is from RNAcentral.
AUUAAACGCUGGCGGCAUGCCUUACACAUGCAAGUCGAACGGUAGCGCGGGGCAACCUAGCGACGAGUGGCGAACGGGUGAGUAAAGCAUCGGAACGUGCCCUGGAAUGGGGGAUAACGUAGCGAAAGUUACGCUAAUACCGCAUAUUCUGUGAGCAGGAAAGCAGGGGAUCGCAAGACCUUGCGUUCUGGGAGCGGCCGAUGUCGGAUUAGCUAGUUGGUGGGGUAAAAGCCUACCAAGGCGACGAUCCGUAGCGGGUCUGAGAGGAUGAUCCGCCACACUGGGACUGAGACACGGCCCAGACUCCUACGGGAGGCAGCAGUGGGGAAUUUUGGACAAUGGGCGGAAGCCUGAUCCAGCCAUGCCGCGUGAGUGAAGAAGGCCUCGGUU